CCUACGGGAGGCAGCAGUGGGGAAUUUUGGGCAAUGGGCGCAAGCCUGAUCCAGCCAUUCCGCGUGCAGGAUGAAGGCCUUCGGGUUGUAAACUGCUUUUGUACGGAACGAAACGGCGCCCUCUAAUACAGGGUGCUAAUGACGGUACCGUAAGAAUAAGCACCGGCUAACUACGUGCCAGCAGCCGCGGUAAUACGUAGGGUGCAAGCGUUAAUCGGAAUUACUGGGCGUAAAGCGUGCGCAGGCGGUGAUGUAAGACAGAUGUGAAAUCCCCGGGCUCAACCUGGGAACUGCAUUUGUGACUGCAUCGCUGGAGUACGGCAGAGGGGGAUGGAAUUCCGCGUGUAGCAGUGAAAUGCGUAGAUAUGCGGAGGAACACCGAUGGCGAAGGCAAUCCCCUGGGCCUGUACUGACGCUCAUGCACGAAAGCGUGGGGAGCAAACAGGAUUAGAUACCCUGGUAGUCCACGCCCUAAACGAUGUCAACUGGUUNUUGGGUCUUCACUGACUCAGUACGAAGCUAACGCGUGAAGUUGACCGCCUGGGGAGUACGGCCCGNGAGUGAACGUCGAAGGAUUGACGNGNGAGAGNGCGAGGACGACGACGAGGGAGGAGG
Molecule: ribosomal RNA, 615 nt
Filed under: uncultured bacterium
Lineage: Bacteria
Description: bacterial SSU rRNA
Rfam family: Bacterial small subunit ribosomal RNA
Source: RNAcentral